AGUGAACGCUGGCGGUAGGCCUAACACAUGCAAGUCGAACGGCAGCACAGUAAGAGCUUGCUCUUACGGGUGGCGAGUGGCGGACGGGUGAGGAAUACAUCGGAAUCUACUUUUUCGUGGGGGAUAACGUAGGGAAACUUACGCUAAUACCGCAUACGACCUACGGGUGAAAGCAGGGGAUCUUCGGACCUUGCGCGAUUGAAUGAGCCGAUGUCGGAUUAGCGAGUUGGCGGGGUAAAGGCCCACCAAGGCGACGAUCCGUAGCUGGUCUGAGAGGGUGGUCGGCCACACUGGAACUGAGACACGGUCCAGACUCCUACGGGAGGCAGCAGUGGGGAAUAUUGGACAAUGGGCGCAAGCCUGAUCCAGCCAUACCGCGUGGGUGAAGAAGGCCUUCGGGUUGUAAAGCCCUUUUGUUGGGAAAGAAAAGCAGCAGGUUAAUACCCCGCUGUUCUGACGGUACCCAAAGAAUAAGCACCGGCUAACUUCGUG
RNAcentral lists this ribosomal RNA (492 nucleotides) under uncultured bacterium. RNAcentral's name for it is "partial 16S ribosomal RNA". It matches the Rfam family "Bacterial small subunit ribosomal RNA", at positions 29 to 507 of the family's 1533-position model. The record is from RNAcentral.